Molecule: long non-coding RNA, 2666 nt
Organism: Equus caballus (horse)
Lineage: Eukaryota; Metazoa; Chordata; Mammalia; Perissodactyla; Equidae
Source: Ensembl
GGGGAGCCCAGUUUGCACCUAGAUUUAAUAUUUUACCAUUUUACACCUAGAUUUAGCUUAAAUUUUUCCAUUAAUUCAUUCAACAAAAUGUACUGUGCUCCUGCUUUGUGACUGCAAAAGGGCCUGUCAUAAUCUCUGUCUCACUGAUAGCCCAGUCCCCUCCCUGGGCCCCCAGCCACCCAUGCAGGGCUGAUGACUGGUGGUGAGAGAAAGCCUCUCUCAGCAGGUGACCUAAAAGGAAAGAGGAAGGAGCCAGCCAUGAUGAUGUGGGGGAAGAGCAGAGGGAACGGCAAGCUCAAAGGCCCUGAGGUCACUCCAGCUGCUAUGUGGAAAAUCAAUUCCAGGGAAACGGAAGCAAGGAAACCGAUUACAUCACGUUCACCACCCGAAUAGUGACUUUUCUUCUGUGGAAGGAGUUCAGGGAACUUACGCCAGUUAAAAAGCAUUUAAUUACUGUUGUCUAACUUCUGUUGCCUCAAAUUCUCUCAGGAAACUUCUUAAAUAGACGGAGUUCCCAAUCUCACACCCCCGAGAUUCUCAUUCUACCAAGCUGAGGAAUCUGCAUUUUGAGAAUCUCCAGUUAAGUAUUUAGCAGCAUCCCCUGAUGGUGGCUAUUUUGAAAUCGCAGAUGUAACAAAUUUAUGGUACUUUGGACUCUUCAUACAUAAUUGUCAUAGGCAAAGUAACAAUCUUUUACGUUUAUAAUAGAGCUAGUUUUAUGGGAAUAACCAAAUGGGGUGGAAACUCCUUCUUAUUCAGUAAUUAUCUGGAAAGAACUCUCAGAAGUAUUAAGAUAAAAAAUAAUUGAAACUUUGUAAGUAGUAAUUAAUCGGCUAUUACGGGGUCAGAGGGCAGUAAUAGCUCGGAACCCACAGCCCAGCUGAUUAUUAGGGUGCUGUAAGAUUAGAAUAAUUGCAACUGUGGAGACAAAAUAGAAAGAUAGUGGCCUUUUCCAAAAGGUAUAAAAAGCCAAUACUUCCUUCGGCAGCAGAACUUACCCCAGCCGCAGAAGAGACGCAGUCCCAUCCCAGGGGUGUGUAUUUGUUUGAAGCAGUGCUCUAACUAGGCAUGAGUCAGUUCUCGCUGAGAAUUUUGUUAGUGUUUCAUUUUGGGUUGGAAAUUGCUCCUUUAGAGCCCCGACCAAGACCAGCCCUCCACACCACUGGUGUAUCUUUGCUUAACUGCUCAGAUACCUGUCUCCCCUGGACUUUCCAGAGAGUGGAACAGAGGGCAGCUCAGUGUCUGAGAGCUCUGGCCAUGUGAGGAGAAAAUACUGCAAGGGAAGUCUGCCUGGGAGGACUGUUUCUACACUCAGGUUGGCUGGAGGAAUCUUCCAGCUUCAUGGCUUAUUUGUUGGUUGGUUUGCUUGUUUCUGUUUGAGGGCUAUUCUCAGAAUUCUCCAUGAACAUUCAUCCAACAUCCCCCUCGUGCCAUUUUUCUCUCAUUCACCCUAGGCUCAUAUUUGAAUUAGAAGAUCAUCGAGGAUAAUUUCUUACAUUCUAGACAAGGCAACUGGGGUGUGAGUAGAGUGACUGCUCUAAGGUCACAUAAAACUGGAUCAGUGCCCAGGACUACUCAUGGUGGCCCAGCAGUGUUCACAGGCCAGUGUCCUUCUGUGACCAUCUGGUCCUCAUCACCUGCUUGUCCUGUCCUUCCUCCAUCCCUGCAAAUACCGACCCCCACCCCUAUCUGUGCACACACGCACACACACAUACACUCUCUCUCAGUUUUCUUCUUUCUGCAAAUCCCUUUUCCCCUUCGCAUUUUACCAAGCUGACCAAAACAUGAAAAAUAAAUCGAACAAAAAAAUUCUUUAUUUUAAAAUAACAAACCCAAAUGCUCAGCUUUCCAACCUUAACUAAAUUGUGCAGGGUUUACUUGUGUUACUUCCUCUUGAUUUAUUUUUGUGGGUUCAGCCUCUAAAAAAAAAUAUAAAGGUUUAUCUGUUACAAUCCAAAGGAGAACAACUUGAAGGAGGAAAUAGAAAACAAAGGGAAAGGUGAGCAGAAAGAUCGCAUAACUACCUAAGGGAACACGAAAUACAAAUCUAGACAUGCCCACAUGUAUUUUUCCAUUUAGAAACAAGCCUUAGCAGCCUUGGUGCCAUCCUUUAUUGUUUCCUCUAGACGCUGGCCCGGUCUCAGUACGCAGUGCAUCUGGACUAAGCGUUAGCCUGCCCUCUGGUGGUGCCUGCCGACAUGUGCAUGUACAUGCGCCCAACGCCCAGGAAUAGGCGCUUGAAAAACUCACUGCUAGAAGGAAGGCUUCGGCUGCUUUCCAGUAAAUACAGCAGGUGGAGACACACACUGAAAAACUGCAACGCAGUCCACCUUGCUUUCAUUUGGCUCUUAGGAGAUUGCUGGGCACCCACAGUUAUUGAAACUAAGUUUGAUCGUAAUUUAUUUGUGAUGAUUCAUAUUUCCUGCUUGUUUUUAAUUCUUGAAAAAUGUUAAGAUCUGGAGAUUUCAAGCAUAUACAGUUUCUAAAUCCGUUGACUCCACCCCCACAUCAUUCAUUCGUAUUAAAUACCUACCAUGUGCAGAGAUUCAGGGUGAGAUGGUGGUGCAAAGGUUGGUAAGACAGACUCCAUCCUUAAAACUCACCCUCUGAUUGGGGAGAAGACAUAUUUGGACAUAAUUACAAUAUAUGGCGAUGGUAUAAACAGA